Molecule: ribosomal RNA, 274 nt
Filed under: uncultured bacterium
Lineage: Bacteria
Description: partial 16S ribosomal RNA
Rfam family: Bacterial small subunit ribosomal RNA
Source: RNAcentral
AUACAGAGGGUGCAAGCGUUAAUCGGAAUUACUGGGCGUAAAGCGCGCGCAGGUGGUUAGUUAAGUUGGAUGUGAAAGCCCUGGGCUCAACCUGGGAAUGGCAUUCAAAACUGGCUGACUAGAGUAUGGUAGAGGGAAGGGGAAUUCCAGGUGUAGCGGUGAAAUGCGUAGAUAUCUGGAGGAACAUCAGUGGCGAAGGCGCCUUCCUGGACUAAUUCUGACACUGAGGUGCGAAAGCGUGGGUAGCAAACAGGAGUAGAAACCCCAGUAGUCC